RNAcentral lists this ribosomal RNA (434 nucleotides) under uncultured bacterium. RNAcentral's name for it is "partial 16S ribosomal RNA". It matches the Rfam family "Bacterial small subunit ribosomal RNA", at positions 29 to 507 of the family's 1533-position model. The record is from RNAcentral.
AACGAACGCUGGCGGCAUGCCUAACACAUGCAAGUCGAACGAGAUCUUCGGGUCUAGUGGCGCACGGGUGCGUAACGCGUGGGAAUCUGCCCUCAGGUUCGGAAUAACCAUUGGAAACGAUGGCUAAUACCGGAUGAUGACGUUAAGUCCAAAGAUUUAUCGCCUGAGGAUGAGCCCGCGUAGGAUUAGCUAGUUGGUGUGGUAAAGGCGCACCAAGGCGACGAUCCUUAGCUGGUCUGAGAGGAUGAUCAGCCACACUGGGACUGAGACACGGCCCAGACUCCUACGGGAGGAAGCAGUGGGGAAUAUUGGACAAUGGGCGAAAGCCUGAUCCAGCAAUGCCGCGUGAGUGAUGAAGGCCUUAGGGUUGUAAAGCUCUUUUACCCGGGAUGAUAAUGACAGUACCGGGAGAAUAAGCUCCGGCUAACUCCGUG